RNAcentral lists this ribosomal RNA (373 nucleotides) under uncultured eukaryote. RNAcentral describes it as "partial 18S ribosomal RNA". It matches the Rfam family "Eukaryotic small subunit ribosomal RNA", at positions 592 to 976 of the family's 1831-position model. The record is from RNAcentral.
CAAUAGCGUAUAUUAAAGUUGUUGCAGUUAAAAAGCUCGUAGUUGGAUUUCGGUUGAGAACGGCCGGUCCGCCGUUUGGUGUGCACUGGCUGGUUUCAACUUCCUGUAGAGGACGUGCUCUGGCUUCACGGCUGGACGCGGAGUCUACGUGGUUACUUUGAAAAAAUUAGAGUGUUCAAAGCGGGCUUACGCUUGAAUAUUUCAGCAUGGAAUAACACUAUAGGACUCCUGUCCUAUUUCGUUGGUCUCGGGACGGGAGUAAUGAUUAAGAGGAACAGUUGGGGGCAUUCGUAUUUCAUUGUCAGAGGUGAAAUUCUUGGAUUUAUGAAAGACGAACUUCUGCGAAAGCAUUUGCCAAGGAUGUUUUCAUUAA